UCCCACGUGAUCUGUCAAAUACUAAUGCAUGAAAAUCCUAACCUCAAAAAAAUCACCCUUUAAGAUAGCAGUUUUCUGUAAUCUAGGAACUAUUUUCCUUGUGAUGGUUUAUGCGUAUCUACUUUAUAUUAGUUUUUAUCUCUUCUUAACUAUGACUGUGUUUUUAUUUUGUACAUCUCCCUCUCUCCCAUAUCUUGCCUUUUUUAACUUACCAAUUUUUCAUAUGAAAUUUGUAAUUCAAUAAGUUUAAGUUCAGUUGAAUAUUUUGUCACUUCUUUCAAUAAUUUCAAAUCUAUUUUUACUAUACAAGAGAAAAUGUAUCAUUUUGUUGAAUGUUUUGUAUUUUUCAUAUUGUACCAUAAAAUUUGUAUAAAAUAAUGCAACGAUAAUAAGUUAUUAUAAAUUAUUUAUUGUAGUUUUUUUUUUUAAAUUAUAAUCACAAAUUGACACAAAAAACGGCGUUUCUAGUUUAAGAUUUUAUGUCCAAGGAACGAACAGUCAGCCUAUUGUUGCUACACAACGGGCAUAACGCCAACUGUCAUCAUAUGAGAGUUUAUCCAAAAGAAUUUCAUACUUUGCAAGGCGUAUUUAAUUAUGUGGCCGCAUCAUCACAGCUGACGGAAUUUGAUAUGUCAAAUCCUUUUUGAAUUCGCCGUUUAAAUUUAAACUUCAAAAUAAAUAUUUUAUAACUUUA
Molecule: long non-coding RNA, 694 nt
Organism: Stomoxys calcitrans (stable fly)
Lineage: Eukaryota; Metazoa; Arthropoda; Insecta; Diptera; Muscidae
Exons: 2
Source: RefSeq, a predicted model, not a curated record